RNAcentral lists this ribosomal RNA (570 nucleotides) under uncultured bacterium. RNAcentral's name for it is "bacterial SSU rRNA". It matches the Rfam family "Bacterial small subunit ribosomal RNA", at positions 397 to 963 of the family's 1533-position model. The record is from RNAcentral.
UUCGGUGCGGGAAGAAGCUUCGGGUUGUAAACCGCUUUUGUCAGGAAAGAAAUCCUUUGGGCUANUACCCUGAGGGGAUGACGGUACCUGAAGAAUAAGCACCGGCUAACUACGUGCCAGCAGCCGCGGUAAUACGUAGGGUGCGAGCGUAAUCGGAAUUACUGGGCGUAAAGCGUGCGCAGGCGGUCAUACAAGACAGAUGUGAAAUCCCCGGGCUUAACCUGGGAACUGCAUUUGUGACUGUAUGGCUGGAGUACGGUAGAGGGGAGUGGAAUUCCGCGUGUAGCAGUGAAAUGCGUAGAUAUGCGGAGGAACACCGAUGGCGAAGGCAGCUCCCUGGACCUGUACUGACGCUCAUGCACGAAAGCGUGGGGAGCAAACAGGAUUAGAUACCCUGGUAGUCCACGCCCUAAACGAUGUCAACUGGUUGUUGGGAGGGUUUCUUCUCAGUAACGAAGCUAACGCGUGAAGUUGACCGCCUGGGGAGUACGGGCGCACGGUUGAAACUCAAAGGAAUUGACGGGGAACCGCACAAGCGGUGGAUGAUGUGCGUAAAUUCGAUGCACCGCG